CCUACGGGUGGCAGCAGUGAGGAAUAUUGGUCAAUGGGCGGAAGCCUGAACCAGCCAAGUAGCGUGCAGGAUGACGGCCCUACGGGUUGUAAACUGCUUUUAUACGGGAAUAACGCGCCUUACGUGUAGGGCUUUUCAUGUACCGUAUGAAUAAUGACCGACUAAUGCCGUGCCAGCAGCCGCGGUAAUACGGAAGGUCCGUGCGUUAUCCGGCUUUUUUGUGUUUAAAGGGAGUGUAGGCCGCAUGUCAAGCGUGCUGUGAAAUGUCCGGGCUCAACCCGGGCCUUGAAGCGCGAACUGGCGGGCUUGAGUCCGCGGAAAGCAGGCGGAAUUCGUCGUGUAGCGGUGAAAUGCUUAGAUAUGACGAAGAACCCCGAUUGCGAAGGCAGCUUGCUGCAGCGGAACUGACGCUGAUGCUCGAAAGCGCGGGUAUCGAACAGGAUUAGAUACCCGUGUAGUC
RNAcentral lists this ribosomal RNA (460 nucleotides) under uncultured bacterium. RNAcentral's name for it is "partial 16S ribosomal RNA". It matches the Rfam family "Bacterial small subunit ribosomal RNA", at positions 338 to 795 of the family's 1533-position model. The record is from RNAcentral.